AACAGUUAGCUUUCCCUGACUCCCAUGAAGACAAUGACCCAACAUCACCACCAUCAUCAUCAUUCAUCAUAUAUCAUCAUCAUCACCAUCUCUUUUGUUUGUCCCUUCUUUGAACCACCACUUGCUAAUACCUACUGGCUACAUACAGCUACUUCUCCCUUUUCUAUAAAUUACUGUUUUUUCACUUAUACUCUCAGCACUGCUAGGUUGGGGAAGGUACAAAAGAAGACCUAGCUAGGGUUUUCAGAAACUCACAAAAAUCUAAGCUGGUGAAAUCUCAAUUAAGAUCCAUUAACUUUCAGCCUUUGUCUCUCUCUCUCUCCUGGUAGCUUCUUCUUGACAAGACCCAUCAGUGGUCUUGCUUGUACAGUAAAGCUUGCUUCGUUCUGCGAAGUUUCAAACAUAUCACUCAGUAUCCGAACCUUGUAUUGUCAUCGAAAGACAUGCAACAGAGGAGUCUGCACGGUCAAAAAUGUUGAGGCCUAUAUAGAAAAUAGAUAUAGCUAUGAUACUAAGUGGUUUUGAUCAAACAAAAAUUAUAAACUAAGGGAAGUUUAUGACAU
Molecule: long non-coding RNA, 563 nt
Organism: Brassica oleracea var. oleracea
Lineage: Eukaryota; Viridiplantae; Streptophyta; Magnoliopsida; Brassicales; Brassicaceae
Exons: 3
Source: RefSeq, a predicted model, not a curated record